AUUGAACGCUGGCGGCAGGCUUAACACGUGCAAGUCGAGCGGAGCGAGGGUGCUUGCACCUUAGCUUAGCGGCGGACGGGUGAGUAAUGCUUAGGAAUCUGCCUAUUAGUGGGGGACAACAUUCCGAAAGGGAUGCUAAUACCGCAUACGCCCUACGGGGGAGAGCAGGGGAUCUUCGGACCUUGCGCUAAUAGAUGAGCCUAAGUCGGAUCAGCUAGUUGGUGGGGUAAAGGCCUACCAAGGCGACGAUCUGUAGCGGGUCUAAGAGGAUGAUCCGCCACACUGGGACUGGGACACGGCCCAGACUCCUACGGGAGGCAGCAGUGGGGAAUAUUGGACAAUGGGCGGAAGCCUGAUCCAGCCAUGCCGCGUGUGUGAAGAAGGCCUUUUGGUUGUAAAGCACUUUAAGCGAGGAGGAGGCUACUAGUAUUAAUACUACUGGAUAGUGGACGUUACUCGCAGAACAAGCACCGGCUAACUCUGUGCCAGCCGCCGCAGUAA
RNAcentral lists this ribosomal RNA (501 nucleotides) under uncultured bacterium. RNAcentral describes it as "partial 16S ribosomal RNA". It matches the Rfam family "Bacterial small subunit ribosomal RNA", at positions 30 to 523 of the family's 1533-position model. The record is from RNAcentral.